AAAUUUAUAAUUAAAAUUAAAAAUAAAUUAUUGUGGAUAAAGGAACAAGUUUCUGAGACUUUUCUGGCACAUCAAAAGUCAUUCUACACAAUGAACUAAUUGAUUUGAUAAAUAUGGCCAAGAGCAAAAUCGUGACUUUGAUUUGGCUGUCUCUUUGAAGGGUUGUAUAUGGGGGGUCAAGUUUUAUGCUGGCCACCCGUCACAACAUGUUAAAGGCACUACCAACCUAGCAGUAACUUGGCUACCUGAUAACCGUCACUGAUGCAUACAAAUACAAUCCAGACAGCCCUUUUCAACACAAUAACCGCUCCUUUACCUCACUCAUCAAUCUCGGAGCACCUUCAAUUCCAAAAACCCUUCAACAGAUUAGACAGCCAAAUCAAAGUCACGAUUUUGCUGAGUCCCAACAUAACUCAGUAAAGACCAAGCAACUUUAUCUAUCAAUCGACCCUACCUCCAUGGAAGUAUUCUCAAGCAUUCCUGUACCCAUAUUUUCUUUGUUUCCCUCCUUACCGUCUUCGUUCUUAUUCAAUUAUUAUCUUCAUCAGGCUUUGACAUUGAGGCCCAAUGCAUUGAGCGGGAAUUGUAGCCAUAACAAUAGAGCAAAUGAGUUUAGCAGAUGAGGUCCCAUCAUCAGCCUUUGUAUUCCAUUAUAUAGUAGACCCCCCAGGGGGUGGCUGCAAGCUAGGAAGAAACUAGAAGCCAAGAGAGAGUGAUUAAAAGAAAAAAAGAGAGGAGAGAAGAAAAGGCAGGAGAGGAAGAGAUAAAGCCUAAAAGAGAGAGAGGAAAAUAGCAAGGAAGCAGCCACUACCAAAACAAAAAAGACAAGGAAGGAAGACGUUCAAGAAAGGAGAAAGGAGAAGGUAUGGAAUAUGUACUUUCUUACUUACCUUGUUUUACACGUGAUGGUCUUACUUUGCCGGUCAACAUGAUGUACUCACAAUUAGGGAUUCUGGGGUCUUAUAUAUUUUGGAUCUGGUAGUGCUGAUAUGGCCCUCGCUUGUUAUUUUGAUUUGGCAUGCAUGGUCAUAGUUUCUUUUCGGCAUGGAUGUAUAAAAGGAUGUGCCUUCUUCCUGCAAACCUACUUAGCUUAUUCGCCUUUGGUAUGAAAAUGUUUCUUGGUUUUUUUUUUAGGUUACGUUGCCUUCUACUUCCCUUUUCUUUUUGUUUUUAUGGAAGAAUCCUUUCUUUCAAACAUGGAAAAUGGGUAUUAUGUAUGGUGGCACGUGCUGUAACAUAUAUAGUCACAUUCUCUUGGAUUAUAGGGAUAACAGAAAUAAAUUUCUUCUGCCCCACAUUGUUAAAGUAUGGUGGCACGUUCUGUAACAAAUAUCCUUAAGUAUUGGAAAAUUAUAAUAACUUUUAUUUUGA
This 1371-nucleotide long non-coding RNA is filed under the name Gossypium barbadense (sea-island cotton). Its description in RNAcentral is "long non-coding RNA (GBAR_LNC013312)". Lineage: Eukaryota; Viridiplantae; Streptophyta; Magnoliopsida; Malvales; Malvaceae. The record is from RNAcentral.